AGGUUUGCAAGUGUUUCAUUGGAAUUGGAUACUACUUUGUAUCAUCCUACUAUAUUAUUUGGGAAGUACAUUUUAAAUGUAACCUUAAUUUUUGUAAUUAAUUACAUGACAAUGCUAUUAGAAAAAUUUAAUCAAAAACAAAAUCUUUUAAUGACAUCAUUAAGAUUACCAAAAUCAUUUAACGACAAUAUUCAUCUCUUAAUUAUAGGGCUUAUUGGAUUUAAAGACAGGUCAUCAAAGAUUUCCUAAACUGAAGCAAAAUAUACUGAAUAUUCAAAUAUCUAUCUGUUACCAAAUUAUAAACAAAUAAGUUUGUAAAACAAUUUAAUAUUUUAUAUACAAAAUCAAUUAAAUCUUAAUCACAUAAAAAUUAGCACAAAAAAAAUAUGGUACAUUCGGGUCUAUAGUAGUUUUGCAAGACUUUUUUGGUGGAUUUGGGUAAAAGUGCAUUCGGGUCAUAUGGUACAUUCCCCUAUUAAAUAAAUAUGGUGCACUCCUAUGUUAUUAGCUAAAAUGUUUAGAUUAUAAUUCAGAGUCAUAUCAUAAAUAAAAUUAAUAUUAAUAAAAUAAAUGGCUUUUUGGCAAGACGAAUUUGGAGGGACGGGUUUUUGAAUCAACAUUAAUAAAAAGUAAAAUAUAAUUAAUCCACUGUUUCAAUACGGGUUAAAUCUUUAAUUUAUUAUU
This 684-nucleotide small RNA is filed under the name Arabidopsis thaliana (thale cress). RNAcentral's name for it is "ATSL091500". The record is from RNAcentral. Lineage: Eukaryota; Viridiplantae; Streptophyta; Magnoliopsida; Brassicales; Brassicaceae.